GGGCUCGUAACUCAGUUUGGCUAGAGUGUCUGGCUUUUAACCAGAAAGCCGUGGGUUCAAAAGCAUAUGGGGUUCCA
Molecule: transfer RNA, 77 nt
Filed under: Candidatus Micrarchaeota archaeon CG1_02_47_40
Lineage: Archaea; Nanobdellati; Microcaldota
Also listed under: 1 other name
Description: tRNA-Lys
Rfam family: tRNA
About the family: Transfer RNA (tRNA) molecules are approximately 80 nucleotides in length.
Source: RNAcentral